GACAUCUUGUCACCCGAAGAGCAACCAGAGGACGUAGAAAAUGGACCUGAUCUCAGAUGAGACAAAAUAGAGCAUGUCACUAAGGUGCAUGAGGGGUCAUGCAUUCUGGAAAAUAAUGCAGAGUGGUACAGGCUGAAGCGGAGCGGAGAGGACACUGUUUCAAGAUUCCUGCGCCAGCUCCUUCGUUGUUAUAGAAGUUGGACUAAAUAAAAGGGUAAUCACAAGCGUACAGAUAACAGGCAGGCAGGAAUGUGAAAAUC
RNAcentral lists this long non-coding RNA (260 nucleotides) under Homo sapiens (human). Its description in RNAcentral is "HSALNT0351186". The record is from RNAcentral. Lineage: Eukaryota; Metazoa; Chordata; Mammalia; Primates; Hominidae.